RNAcentral lists this transfer RNA (68 nucleotides) under Euphaedusa planostriata. Its description in RNAcentral is "tRNA-Glu". Lineage: Eukaryota; Metazoa; Mollusca; Gastropoda; Stylommatophora; Clausiliidae. The record is from RNAcentral.
GUUAACUUAGUAUAUAUAAUAGUACAUAACCUUUUCGUGGUUUAAGAAAUUUAUUUAAUUAGUUAAUA